This 253-nucleotide ribosomal RNA is filed under the name uncultured bacterium. RNAcentral's name for it is "partial 16S ribosomal RNA". It matches the Rfam family "Bacterial small subunit ribosomal RNA", at positions 524 to 776 of the family's 1533-position model. The record is from RNAcentral.
UACAGAGGAGCCAAGCGUUGUCCGGAUUGACUGGGCGUAAAGCGCACGCAGGCGGACGCGCGCGUGGGGUGUGAAAUCUGGCCGCUUAACGGCCAGGCGCCAUCCCAUACGGCGCGUCUGGAGUGAUGCAGAGGUCGGUGGAAUUGCCGGUGUAGUGGUGAAAUGCGUAGAGAUCGGCAGGAACACCCAGGGGGAAAGCAGCCGACUGGGCCUCUACUGACGCUGAGGUGCGAGAGCGUGGGGAGCGAACCGG